RNAcentral lists this ribosomal RNA (467 nucleotides) under uncultured bacterium. RNAcentral describes it as "partial 16S ribosomal RNA". It matches the Rfam family "Bacterial small subunit ribosomal RNA", at positions 28 to 507 of the family's 1533-position model. The record is from RNAcentral.
GAUGAACGCUGGCGGCGUGCUUAACACAUGCAAGUCGAACGGAAAGGCCCAAGCUUGCUUGGGUACUCGAGUGGCGAACGGGUGAGUAACACGUGGGUGAUCUGCCCUGCACUUCGGGAUAAGCCUGGGAAACUGGGUCUAAUACCGGAUAGGACCACAUUUUGGAUGGUGUGGUGGAAAGUUUUUCGGUGUGGGAUGAGCUCGCGGCCUAUCAGCUUGUUGGUGGGGUAAUGGCCUACCAAGGCGUCGACGGGUAGCCGGCCUGAGAGGGUGUACGGCCACAUUGGGACUGAGAUACGGCCCAGACUCCUACGGUAGGCAGCAGUGGGGAAUAUUGCACAAUGGGCGCAAGCCUGAUGCAGAGACGCCGCGUGGGGGAUGACGGCCUUCGGGUUGUAAACUCCUUUCGCUAGGGACGAAGCGUUUUUGUGACGGUACCUGGAGAAGAAGCACCGGCUAACUACGUG